This 501-nucleotide ribosomal RNA is filed under the name uncultured bacterium. RNAcentral's name for it is "partial 16S ribosomal RNA". It matches the Rfam family "Bacterial small subunit ribosomal RNA", at positions 30 to 523 of the family's 1533-position model. The record is from RNAcentral.
AUUGAACGCUGGCGGCAGGCUUAACACAUGCAAGUCGAGCGGAGAUGAGGUGCUUGCACCUUAUCUUAGCGGCGGACGGGUGAGUAAUGCUUAGGAAUCUGCCUAUUAGUGGGGGACAACAUUCCGUAAGGAAUGCUAAUACCGCAUACGUCCUACGGGAGAAAGCAGGGGAUCUUCGGACCUUGCGCUAAUAGAUGAGCCUAAGUCGGAUUGGCUAGUUGGUGGGGUAAAGGCCUACCAAGGCGACGAUCUGUAGCGGGUCUGAGAGGAUGAUCCGCCACACUGGGACUGAGGCACGGCCCAGACUCCUACGGGAGGCAGCAGUGGGGAAUAUUGGACAAUGGGGGAAGCCCUGAUCCAGCCAUGCCGCGUGUGUGAAGAAGGCCUUAUGGUUGUAAAGCACUUUAAGCGAGGAGGAGGCUACUGAGACUAAUACUCUUGGAUAGUGGACGUUACUCGCAGAAUAAGCACCGGCUAACUCUGUGCCAGCAGCCGCGGUAA